Molecule: long non-coding RNA, 206 nt
Filed under: Elaeis guineensis (African oil palm)
Lineage: Eukaryota; Viridiplantae; Streptophyta; Magnoliopsida; Arecales; Arecaceae
Description: long non-coding RNA (EGUI_LNC052874)
Source: RNAcentral
GGGUUAUGUCACCUUGCCUUAACUUUCUACUUCCUAUUAGACUCUGCAUUGAAGUACAUAUAUGAGUACUAGAACCAGAGUCCAAUACUCAACUAGAAGUAAAAGAAACUGUAAGGUUAGAUUCUAUUAUGAGCAUACCUUCAAAAGGUUGAUCAUCCUUUUUCAUCUUCAGGCUUUUCAGGUAAGAUAGACAGUUUCUCCUCCAG